GGCGGAGCCCUGGGGGUGCGGAACGUGAUUGGGCAAUGCAUGGAGGGCGGAGAGCUCCCGCGCCAGGAACGGCCAUGGAUAGGGCAACGCGCGAGGUGGGCGUGGACCUGUGGAAUAGCCUGAGGCCCGGAUGGGGCCGGCAAAUAAGGGGUAGGGACUAGGCGGUCGCCCGGAGUAGAGGGCGGGACCUCUGCCAGGCUUCAGGGCGGCGGAGCGAAAGCGCUAGGUCUCCAGAGGCCCAGAGACCCCACGGGGGACAGAUGGAAUUAAGAAUCGUGCGGAGGGGACAGGACUUGCCCUAGGAGCAGGAGUUGGGUCCCAUUGCACGCUGGCCCAGAGCAGUGGCUACUGCAGGGAUGCCCGAGAGGCAGAAGGCGGAGAGGCAGUGUGCACAGACCCUUGCUCAGUCUCCUGCUGGUGACCAAGGCCUUUCCCGGAAUCCAGAAAGGAAUUAAAUUCUGGGACAGACCUCACCUUCCGCACAGAUUUCUGCAGCAGAGUGUUGCUAGAGUGAAAUCCGCCUUCAGCCGCGGUGGCCCCACGCCCCAGGGAGGCCCGAGGUGAUGCAGCUUCUCUUGGCCUGUUCUCUUGGUGUCAGCACCCUGCAGAGGCCUGCGGGGCGCUCAGUGGGGUAGCAGCAUGGCUGGAGUCCUUGCUGUGACCUUGCCUCUGGGCAAACACUGUCUUGAACCCUCUCCCUGCCCCUUUCUGGCGGCUGCCACUCCGAUUCCAUGACUGGAUGGCCCAGGAUUGCAGUGGGGAGGCAUUUUACGGCAUAAGUCACUGGUAGGUGGCAGAAGGACUUGCUGUCCUGUCUGCCCAGGCUUGGGGUGCCGACCGGGUCACAGCGAUCUGCUCCACACUCCAGACUUUGGUACCUUUUAUAACGUCAACGUUCUGUUUGUAUUACUGCUUUGUCACAGGCCAGUGCCAUGCAGUGCAACUCAUGCCCCACAGUACCUGCCCUAGCUUCCCUAGAUCGUUUGGAGAGAAGAAUAAAAUCACGUAUCAAUG
Chinchilla lanigera (long-tailed chinchilla) is the source of this 1014-nucleotide long non-coding RNA. RefSeq lists it as uncharacterized. The transcript has 2 exons. The record is from RefSeq and is a predicted model, not a curated record. NCBI's taxonomy places the organism in Eukaryota, Metazoa, Chordata, Mammalia, Rodentia, Chinchillidae.